CAGGACGGCCGGGGGGCCGCUCCCUGUCGUGUACGGCAAGGAGAGGAACUUCCGGACUCCAUAGAGCGCGACGCCCGUCGAAAGGCGGGGCCUGCCGGGCCCAAGCCCGUCAGGACGGAAAGUGCCACAGAGACAUACCGCCUACCGGCGCGAGCCGGGGGGCAAGGGUGAAAAGGCGAGGUAAGAGCUCACCGCCCGGGCCGCGAGGCUCGAGGUCCAGGCAAACCCCGUCGGGAGCAAGGCAGAUGGGCGGCCAGCGCGGCUCGCGCGUCCUCCGAGUGAGGGGCGGCCCGGUAGCCGCAUAGAGAAAUGGCCCUCCAGCCCCCGUGAGGGGGUGGACAGAAUCCGGGGUACAGGCCGUCCUGAACC
Molecule: RNase P RNA, 369 nt
Filed under: Elusimicrobiota bacterium
Lineage: Bacteria; Pseudomonadati; Elusimicrobiota
Description: Elusimicrobia bacterium (groundwater metagenome) RNase P RNA component class A
Rfam family: Bacterial RNase P class A
About the family: Ribonuclease P (RNase P) is a ubiquitous endoribonuclease, found in archaea, bacteria and eukarya as well as chloroplasts and mitochondria. Its best characterised activity is the generation of mature 5'-ends of tRNAs by cleaving the 5'-leader elements of precursor-tRNAs.
Source: RNAcentral